Heterocephalus glaber (naked mole-rat) is the source of this 107-nucleotide small nuclear RNA. The record is from Ensembl. NCBI's taxonomy places the organism in Eukaryota, Metazoa, Chordata, Mammalia, Rodentia, Bathyergidae.
GUGCUUGCUUCAACAGUACAUAUGCUAAAAUUGGAACAAUACAGAGAAGACUAGCAUGGCCCCUGUGCAAAGAUGACAUGCAAAUUCAUGAAGCAUUUCAUAUUUUA